RNAcentral lists this ribosomal RNA (451 nucleotides) under uncultured bacterium. RNAcentral describes it as "partial 16S ribosomal RNA". It matches the Rfam family "Bacterial small subunit ribosomal RNA", at positions 354 to 796 of the family's 1533-position model. The record is from RNAcentral.
GUGGGGAAUAUUGGACAAUGGGGGGAACCCUGAUCCAGCCAUGCCGCGUGUGUGAAGAAGGCCUUUUGGUUGUAAAGCACUUUAAGCGAGGAGGAGGCUACCGAGAUUAAUACUCUUGGAUAGUGGACGUUGCUCGCAGAAUAAGCACCGGCUAACUCUGUGCCAGCAGCCGCGGUAAUACAGAGGGUGCGAGCGUUAAUCGGAUUUACUGGGCGUAAAGCGUGCGUAGGCGGCUUUUUAAGUCGGAUGUGAAAUCCCCGAGCUUAACUUGGGAAUUGCAUUCGAUACUGGGAAGCUAGAGUAUGGGAGAGGAUGGUAGAAUUCCAGGUGUAGCGGUGAAAUGCGUAGAGAUCUGGAGGAAUACCGAUGGCGAAGGCAGCCAUCUGGCCUAAUACUGACGCUGAGGUACGAAAGCAUGGGGAGCAAACAGGAUUAGAAACCCCUGUAGUCC